This 254-nucleotide ribosomal RNA is filed under the name uncultured bacterium. RNAcentral describes it as "partial 16S ribosomal RNA". It matches the Rfam family "Bacterial small subunit ribosomal RNA", at positions 524 to 776 of the family's 1533-position model. The record is from RNAcentral.
UACGUAGGCAGCGAGCGUUGUUCGGAGUUACUGGGCGUAAAGAGUGCGUAGGCGGUUUUCUAAGUUUGGUGUGAAAUCUCCCGGCUCAACUGGGAGGGUGCGCCGAAUACUGAAUGACUUGGAGUGCGGGAGAGGAGAGUGGAAUUCCUGGUGUAGCGGUGAAAUGCGUAGAUAUCGGGAAGAACACCCGUGGCGAAAGCGGCUCUCUGGGACGGUACUGACGCUGAGACGCGAAAGCGUGGGGAGCGAACAGG